GAAAUACGGUAAGAGCGAAACCGGGAAGAAGCUCUGUGCCUGUAGGGAACCCGCCGCCAUCUCAGUUCUCUUGGCCAGUGCCCACCGGAGAAAGAUCUGACGCCCAGGUCCUGUAAUCCUUAUGGGGGACCAUCCUUGUACCUCCGGGAGAUCCACGCUCCCACCUGGAAACACGCGGGAAGCCAAGCCUCCAAAAAAGCGCUGCCUCCUUGCUCCCCGGUGGGAUUAUCCGGAAGGAACGCCCAACGGUGGUAGUACCUCUCUCGCCUCUGCACCUCCUCCUGCAUCACCCAGCCUGAAGUCGCACCCGCCUCCUCCGGAGAAGUAGUAGAAUAUACUUCUUCCACCCCAAACCAGACACUGAGGGAUAGCGGUAUGACUCUGUUUCCUUGGUGCAUUCGUAAAAUAGUUAACCCAGUGAAGACAAUGAAGAACAUUGAUAAUGCUAUCCUGCUUUUUCUGAUAUCCUGCACCGGGAAGUUGUGGUUUUUAAGUCUUAUGAUAUGAUCAGCAUAAUUUCAUCUCCUGAAUUUGGAUGAAUUCUGGGACAUAACCAAGAUCAGGCUGUAGACAUUUAAGAUUGAAGGCCAUGGCCUGGAUCAUGGUGAACCCACCAAAGCAAAUAAUACCUGUGAGAUGGUCCUGCAGCAGCCAGUCAAUGCUCUGUUUUGGUGGCACAGCCCUUGCUGCAUAAUUUUGAAUUUCUAUAAAUCCAUUAAGGUCACAAUAAAUUUUUUCUUUCAUUUUUUGUGUUAGUUCUAUAUGACUACUAUCUAGUAAACUGAAUUUUCAGUAUGUUUCAUAAUCUAAAUAUAAAAUAUUACUAAAAUUGGUGUCAAAAUAUGACCUUCCUCCUGCAAAUGGUGAUCCACUCAUUCUUUGUAGUGAGAAUAUAUCAGGAAAGUGGGAGGAGAGUUUGAGGGGUAAAAUCUGAAAGAAAAUUAAGUUCCCAGUACAUUCUCUUCACUUCACUUUCAAUUUUUCUAUGGUAUCUAUGUAUAUGUUCAUGAUAGUACUUAUUUUUCCACAUGUUCACUGUUUUUCUGGUCAAGAUGGUUGGUGUACUUGUUCUUGUAAUUUUCUACUUCUAAAGUAUUCUGUAUUAAAUAGGUUAUCUUAAUUAAAACAAUAAAAAUAUGGUGACGACAGUACAAGGAGAAUGGGAAAACUUCAGUCAACUUUCAAUAUUUCACAUAGUUCAUGAAUUGUUCAUUAAUUAGAGAAAGAAAAGCUAAUUUGGAGGAGAUCUUUAUGUAUAUUAAAUAAUAUAGUAAAGAUACAAUAAUUAAAACAAUGUAUUACUGGCAUAGAAAUAUGCAAGUCAGCGUAACAGGAUAUAAAGCCCAGAAAUGGUCACCGGCUUAUAUAAGAAUUUAAAGGUGGCAUUUCAGAUUAGUGGGGAAGGGCUGAGUCACUCAUUAAAAUGUGUUAAGAACAUCUGGCUGAUCAUAUGGAAAAAAUAAUUCAAUCUCCAUACUCAUACCAUAAACUAAUUGAAAGACAUCAAAUUAUUAGAAGGGAACUGGUGAAUACGUUAAUGUGGAAAGGGCAUAAUCCCAUGGAUAACAAUAAUUCAAUGUUUCAAAAUGUACUGAUUAAAUAUGGAUGAUGUGCCAAGUGCUCUACCAAGUACUCUACCAAGUACUGGGAAUAUAAUGGCUAGUAAGGUAGCAGUCAAUGUAGCUUACAAUCUAAUAGAGAGGGCAGAACUGAUUUUCUUCAGAAAUCGCUCUACAUCUCUCAUUUCAUUCCUUUGCUUCAUUUUCAACCGGGCUCUCUUCAUAUUGAGAAGGAUGGCAGCCAGCACUCUCAGGCAUACAUUGCAUUAAGAUCACUCAGAAAAACACACAGUCUCUUUUCCAGCUCCCCAUAUCAAUAGCUCAACAAGUAUUAUGUGACUCUCUUGGGUCAUAAACCAAUUUAUGAAUGAAUAUAUCCAGCAGAGUGGGUGCUCUGAUUGACCAAUAUAAGAUUACAUGCCCACUACUAAAAAAAGGAAGGUGAGGUCCUUGACUGACAGUUUCACCAGAGUUAGAUACUGAAUCAGGGAAGGACAAUUCCCAAAAGGAAAGGACAUAGGGAAGAUUAAAAAGUAACAUGUCCGCUAUAAACUGAAGAGUGACAAUUAGUAAUUACAAAAGGAGAAGGGGAAAGAGGGUAUCAAUCAGAAUGAGAGUGUGAAAGCCCAAAGGCAAGAAAACAUUGUCUAUUUGGCUAAAAGACAGUUUAACUAAAAUAGUCGAUGGAGUGGUGAGAGAUUAGCCAGGAAAGAUAGGCAGAGAUCAUAAAGAGGUAUGUGAAUUUUAUUACAGAAUUUAGACUUUAUAAGCAAAGGUUUCUUUUGCAGUAAAAUAUACAUUUGAUUUACCAUUUUAGCCAUUUUAAAUGCACAUUCACAUAUGCUUAAUGUGCAACCAUCACCCCCUUUCAUCUCCAGAAAAUCAUCAUCCAAAAUUGAAAGUUAGUACCCAGUAAACAAUAAGUUCUUUUUCCUCCCUCCUCCCAGCUCCUGAACACCACCAUUCUACUUUCUGUUUCUAUGAAUUUAACUACUCUGAAUACCUUAUAUUAGUGGAAUCAUACAAUAUUUUUCUUUUUGUGUAUAGCUUAUUUCAUUUAGCAUAACAUCUUCAAGCUUCAUCCAUGUUGUAGCAAUGUACCAGAAUUUCCUUCCUAUUUUAAUUGUGGUAAAAUAUUGCCAACCUAAAAUUUACUGUCUUAAGCAUUUCUAACUACACAGUUUAGUAGUGCUAAGUAUUUUUAUAUUGCACCACCAAUCUCCAGAAGUCUUAAGCUUGCAAAAUAAAAAUUGUAUACACAUUAAACAACUCUUCAUUUCCCUCUACCCCCAGCCAGUGACAGACACUAUACCAUUUUCUGUUUCUAUGAGUUUGACUACUCUAGACACUGCAUAUAAGUAGAACUACAUGAUAUUUGUCUUUCUGUGGUUGGUAUAGUCCAUUUAGCAUAAUGUCCUCAAGGUUCAUUCAUGCCAUAGUAUGUGAUAGGAUUCCCUUCCUCUUAAAUUUAUUUUUAAUUUAUAGAAUAUAUUUUUAGAGCAGUUUUAGGUUCACAGAAAAACUAAGUGUAAAUCACAGAGUUCCCAUGGGUUCCCUGCCCCCACACAUGUGUAGACUCUCCCAUUAUCAACACCACCCACCUGAUUGGCAUAUUUGCUGCUAUUGAUGAACCUACAUUGACCCAUUAUAUUUACCCAACAUCUAUUGCUUAAAUUAGGAUUCAUCUUUGGUGUUUUACAUUCUAUGGAUGGGGACAAAUGUAUAAUGAUAUGUGUGCAUCAUUAUAAUAUUGUACAUAUAAUAUUGCAUCAUUAUAAUAUUGUACAUGUGUCCUUUACAAAUAUUUCUCCCUAGGCUGUGGCUUGUAUUUUAACUGUGCUAAAAAUCCUCUGUGCUCUGCCUGUUCAUCCCUCCUCUCCACUCCCCCAGCUCCUGGCAACCACUGAUCUUCAUAGUUUUGCUUUACCCCGAAUAUCAUGUAGUCGGAGUUAUACAGCAUGUGAACUAUGUAGACUGGCUCUUUUCACUUAGCAAUAUGCAUUUAAGUUUCAUGAUGAUAGCUUAUGUUUUUAGUCCUGCAUAAUAUUCCAUUGUAUGAUUAUACCACAGUUUAUAAAUGUAUUCAUCUACUGAAAGACAUUUUGAUUUAUUCAAAGUUUUGGUAGUUAUGAAUAAACUUGCUAUAAACAUCCAUGUGCA
Molecule: RNA transcript, 3719 nt
Organism: Manis javanica (Malayan pangolin)
Lineage: Eukaryota; Metazoa; Chordata; Mammalia; Pholidota; Manidae
Gene: NBDY
Gene name: negative regulator of P-body association
Source: RefSeq, a predicted model, not a curated record